This 266-nucleotide ribosomal RNA is filed under the name uncultured bacterium. RNAcentral's name for it is "partial 16S ribosomal RNA". It matches the Rfam family "Bacterial small subunit ribosomal RNA", at positions 793 to 1055 of the family's 1533-position model. The record is from RNAcentral.
GUCCACGCCGUAAACGAUGGGCACUAGGUGUCGGGGGUAUCCACUCCCUCGGUGCCGCCGCUAACGCAUUAAGUGUCCCGCCUGGGAAGUACGGUCGCAAGAUUAAAACUCAAAGGAAUUGACGGGGGCCCGCACAAGCGGUGGAGCAUGUGGUUCAAUUCGAUGCAACGCGAAGAACCUUACCUGGGUUUGACAUCUGGCGAAUUUCGGUGAAAGCCGGAAGUGCCCGCAAGGGAACGCCAAGACAGGUGCUGCAUGGCUGUCGU